RNAcentral lists this ribosomal RNA (405 nucleotides) under Brucella melitensis. Its description in RNAcentral is "partial 16S ribosomal RNA". It matches the Rfam family "Bacterial small subunit ribosomal RNA", at positions 354 to 776 of the family's 1533-position model. Lineage: Bacteria; Pseudomonadati; Pseudomonadota; Alphaproteobacteria; Hyphomicrobiales; Brucellaceae. The record is from RNAcentral. RNAcentral also lists the same sequence under 1 other name.
GUGGGGAAUAUUGGACAAUGGGCGAAAGCCUGAUCCAGCAAUGCCGCGUGAGUGAUGAAGGCCUUAGGGUUGUAAAGCUCUUUUACCAGGGAUGAUAAUGACAGUACCUGGAGAAUAAGCUCCGGCUAACUCCGUGCCAGCAGCCGCGGUAAUACGGAGGGAGCUAGCGUUGUUCGGAAUUACUGGGCGUAAAGCGCACGUAGGCGGCCAUUCAAGUCAGAGGUGAAAGCCCGGGGCUCAACCCCGGAACUGCCUUUGAAACUAGAUGGCUUGAAUCUUGGAGAGGCGAGUGGAAUUCCGAGUGUAGAGGUGAAAUUCGUAGAUAUUCGGAAGAACACCAGUGGCGAAGGCGACUCGCUGGACAAGUAUUGACGCUGAGGUGCGAAAGCGUGGGGAGCAAACAGG